RNAcentral lists this ribosomal RNA (484 nucleotides) under uncultured bacterium. RNAcentral describes it as "partial 16S ribosomal RNA". It matches the Rfam family "Bacterial small subunit ribosomal RNA", at positions 30 to 507 of the family's 1533-position model. The record is from RNAcentral.
AUUGAACGCUGGCGGCAGGCCUAACACAUGCAAGUCGAGCGGAUGAAGGGAGCUUGCUCCUGGAUUCAGCGGCGGACGGGUGAGUAAUGCCUAGGAACCUGCCUGGCAGUGGGGGAUAACGUCCGGAAACGGGCGCUAAUACGGCAUACGCCCUGAGGGAGAACGUGGGGGAUCUUCGGACCUUACGCUAUCAGAUGAGCCUAGGUCGGAUUAGCUAGUUGGUGGGGUAAAGGCCUACCAAGGCGACGAUCCGUAGCUGGUCUGAGAGGAUGAUCAGUCACACUGGAACUGAGACACGGUCCAGACUCCUACGGGAGGCAGCAGUGGGGAAUAUUGGACAAUGGGCGAAAGCCUGAUCCAGCCAUGCCGCGUGUGUGAAGAAGGUCUUCGGAUUGUAAAGCACUUUUGGUUGGGAAGAAGAGCAGUAAGUUAAUACCUUGCUGUUUUGACGUUACCAACAGAAUAAGCACCGGCUAACUUCGUG